This is a non-coding RNA of Caenorhabditis briggsae, 46 nucleotides long. The record is from Rfam. NCBI's taxonomy places the organism in Eukaryota, Metazoa, Nematoda, Chromadorea, Rhabditida, Rhabditidae.
CCAACGGCCCUCUUUAGGGCCACAAAUCACAUGAAUCCAUAAAUAU